UUUAUGGAGAGUUUGAUCCUGGCUCAGGAUGAACGCUGGCGGCGUGCCUAAUACAUGCAAGUCGAGCGAACGGACGAGAAGCUUGCUUCUCUGAUGUUAGCGGCGGACGGGUGAGUAACACGUGGAUAACCUACCUAUAAGACUGGGAUAACUUCGGGAAACCGGAGCUAAUACCGGAUAAUAUUUUGAACCGCAUGGUUCAAAAGUGAAAGACGGUCUUGCUGUCACUUAUAGAUGGAUCCGCGCUGCAUUAGCUAGUUGGUAAGGUAACGGCUUACCAAGGCAACGAUGCAUAGCCGACCUGAGAGGGUGAUCGGCCACACUGGAACUGAGACACGGUCCAGACUCCUACGGGAGGCAGCAGUAGGGAAUCUUCCGCAAUGGGCGAAAGCCUGACGGAGCAACGCCGCGUGAGUGAUGAAGGUCUUCGGAUCGUAAAACUCUGUUAUUAGGGAAGAACAUAUGUGUAAGUAACUGUGCACAUCUUGACGGUACCUAAUCAGAAAGCCACGGCUAACUACGUGCCAGCAGCCGCGGUAAUACGUAGGUGGCAAGCGUUAUCCGGAAUUAUUGGGCGUAAAGCGCGCGUAGGCGGUUUUUUAAGUCUGAUGUGAAAGCCCACGGCUCAACCGUGGAGGGUCAUUGGAAACUGGAAAACUUGAGUGCAGAAGAGGAAAGUGGAAUUCCAUGUGUAGCGGUGAAAUGCGCAGAGAUAUGGAGGAACACCAGUGGCGAAGGCGACUUUCUGGUCUGUAACUGACGCUGAUGUGCGAAAGCGUGGGGAUCAAACAGGAUUAGAUACCCUGGUAGUCCACGCCGUAAACGAUGAGUGCUAAGUGUUAGGGGUUUCCGCCCUUAGUGCUGCAGCUAACGCAUUAAGCACUCCGCCUGGGGAGUACGACCGCAAGGUUGAAACUCAAAGGAAUUGACGGGGACCCGCACAAGCGGUGGAGCAUGUGGUUUAAUUCGAAGCAACGCGAAGAACCUUACCAAAUCUUGACAUCCUUUGACAACUCUAGAGAUAGAGCCUUCCCCUUCGGGGGACAAAGUGACAGGUGGUGCAUGGUUGUCGUCAGCUCGUGUCGUGAGAUGUUGGGUUAAGUCCCGCAACGAGCGCAACCCUUAAGCUUAGUUGCCAUCAUUAAGUUGGGCACUCUAAGUUGACUGCCGGUGACAAACCGGAGGAAGGUGGGGAUGACGUCAAAUCAUCAUGCCCCUUAUGAUUUGGGCUACACACGUGCUACAAUGGACAAUACAAAGGGCAGCGAAACCGCGAGGUCAAGCAAAUCCCAUAAAGUUGUUCUCAGUUCGGAUUGUAGUCUGCAACUCGACUACAUGAAGCUGGAAUCGCUAGUAAUCGUAGAUCAGCAUGCUACGGUGAAUACGUUCCCGGUCUUGUACACACCGCCCGUCACACCACGAGAGUUUGUAACACCCGAAGCCGGUGGAGUAACCUUUUAGGAGCUAGCCGUCGAAGGUGGGACAAAUGAUUGGGGUGAAGUCGUAACAAGGUAGCCGUAUCGGAAGGUGCGGCUGGAUCACCUCCUUUCU
RNAcentral lists this ribosomal RNA (1551 nucleotides) under Staphylococcus aureus. RNAcentral's name for it is "16S ribosomal RNA". It matches the Rfam family "Bacterial small subunit ribosomal RNA". The record is from RNAcentral. Lineage: Bacteria; Bacillati; Bacillota; Bacilli; Caryophanales; Staphylococcaceae.